Long non-coding RNA from Daphnia pulicaria, 963 nucleotides. RefSeq lists it as uncharacterized. The record is from RefSeq and is a predicted model, not a curated record. The transcript has 4 exons. Lineage: Eukaryota; Metazoa; Arthropoda; Branchiopoda; Diplostraca; Daphniidae.
UAGUUUGAACUCAACUCACUGUGCGUACUCUAAAAACACAGAUAACUGGUGCUGUUGCUUUUCAGCCACAGGCAGGAAAAUGAUUCUUUUCUACAGAAAAUUGAAAGCUGCUGGAGUAAUCUGGUGGUCAUGCUCAUUUGAUUCAUUUCGUGCCAGCUAGUGAAAGCCGAAAGGCAUGUCGAAACAGUCGAAUUCAAUUGAGCUGCUGCGUGCUGUCUCGAAGCAAGCAAUCCAGCCGUUGCGUCAGUCAUUUGGAACAGGAAUCUAAUGGCUGGUCAAUAGGUGGCUGUGAAUAAGUGGCUGAAAUUAUGUCCAUCAGGUAGCGCGAGUGUCUUCACUUCAGAGACGCUUAGCGGCCAUUUUGUUCCAAGACGCAUCAGAAAUGGGUUGUUGGUUGUGACGUUUCUCACGAUGAAAAUUAAAAGGUGAUUUAGCAAGAAGAAACCAAUUGGCCAAAUCAUUCAACUCAGACUUGGAAGUUGGAAGUGCCUGACAUUUCCGAAAUGGCGUGCCUCGUGUGUCUCGCUGUCUGUUCUUAGGCGUACGUCUCAUCCCAUGCAACAUAAAAAAGUAUAACAAACACUUCUUUAAUGCUGGUGGUUACCUUGUUGCAGCCAAAUGGUGAAAGGUAUGACAAAGACAGAUUGAACCGUUGUAUGCUGAAUGCGAUUGCAGUGUAAUCCAGAAGUUGCUGUGCUGUUGUAGCUGAGCUGUUCCAUCUGGGUUCCUGACUUCAAAAAUUUUGUGUUGUCAUUUUCAUCCAUGCAAUAUGAAAUUGCUCUGCCAGUGAUAUUUUGUGUUGCUGUGUUAAAGGUUGAUCUGUUGUCUUUUGAGUUUUCAUUCAAUCAUGCAGUAUACAACUGAAGCAACCUGAUCAAUGUCAGGUUUGAAACAGUCGAGAACUGCUAGAUAAAACAAGCUUUCUGCACCAAACAAAUAAUAACUUGCAUAUAACUUGCAUCA